GAUGAACGCUGGCGGCGUGCCUAAUACAUGCAAGUCGAGCGAACGGACGAGAAGCUUGCUUCUCUGAUGUUAGCGGCGGACGGGUGAGUAACACGUGGAUAACCUACCUAUAAGACUGGGAUAACUUCGGGAAACCGGAGCUAAUACCGGAUAAUAUUUUGAACCGCAUGGUUCAAAAGUGAAAGACGGUCUUGCUGUCACUUAUAGAUGGAUCCGCGCUGCAUUAGCUAGUUGGUAAGGUAACGGCUUACCAAGGCAACGAUGCAUAGCCGACCUGAGAGGGUGAUCGGCCGCACUGGAACUGAGACACGGUCCAGACUCCUACGGGAGGCAGCAGUAGGGAAUCUUCCGCAAUGGGCGAAAGCCUGACGGAGCAACGCCGCGUGAGUGAUGAAGGUCUUCGGAUCGUAAAACUCUGUUAUUAGGGAAGAACAUAUGUGUAAGUAACUGUGCACAUCUUGACGGUACCUAAUCAGAAAGCCACGGCUAACUACGUGCCAGCAGCCGCGGUAAUACGUAGGUGGCAAGCGUUAUCCCGGAUUAUUGGGCGUAAAGCGCGCGUAGGCGGUUUUUUAGUCUGAUGUGAAAGCCCACGGCUCAACCGUGGAGGGUCAUUGGAAACUGGAAAACUUGAGUGCAGAAGAGGAAAGUGGAAUUCCAUGUGUAGCGGUGAAAUGCGCAGAGAUAUGGAGGAACACCAGUGGCGAAGGCGACUUUCUGGUCUGUAACUGACGCUGAUGUGCGAAAGCGUGGGGAUCAAACAGGAUUAGAUACCCUGGUAGUCCACGCCGUAAACGAUGAGUGCUAAGUGUUAGGGGGUUUCCGCCCCUUAGUGCUGCAGCUAACGCAUUAAGCACUCCGCCUGGGGAGUACGACCGCAAGGUUGAAACUCAAAGGAAUUGACGGGGACCCGCACAAGCGGUGGAGCAUGUGGUUUAAUUCGAAGCAACGCGAAGAACCUUACCAAAUCUUGACAUCCUUUGACAACUCUAGAGAUAGAGCCUUCCCCUUCGGGGGACAAAGUGACAGGUGGUGCAUGGUUGUCGUCAGCUCGUGUCGUGAGAUGUUGGGUUAAGUCCCGCAACGAGCGCAACCCUUAAGCUUAGUUGCCAUCAUUAAGUUGGGCACUCUAAGUUGACUGCCGGUGACAAACCGGAGGAAGGUGGGGAUGACGUCAAAUCAUCAUGCCCCUUAUGAUUUGGGCUACACACGUGCUACAAUGGACAAUACAAAGGGCAGCGAAACCGCGAGGUCAAGCAAAUCCCAUAAAGUUGUUCUCAGUUCGGAUUGUAGUCUGCAACUCGACUACAUGAAGCUGGAAUCGCUAGUAAUCGUAGAUCAGCAUGCUACGGUGAAUACGUUCCCGGGUCU
This 1371-nucleotide ribosomal RNA is filed under the name uncultured bacterium. RNAcentral's name for it is "bacterial SSU rRNA". It matches the Rfam family "Bacterial small subunit ribosomal RNA", at positions 28 to 1381 of the family's 1533-position model. The record is from RNAcentral.